UACGUAGGUGGCAAGCGUUAUCCGGAUUUAUUGGGCGUAAAGGGAACGCAGGCGGUCUUUUAAGUCUGAUGUGAAAGCCUUCGGCUUAACCGGAGUAGUGCAUUGGAAACUGGGAGACUUGAGUGCAGCAGAGGAGAGUGGAACUCCAUGUGUAGCGGUGAAAUGCGUAGAUAUAUGGAAGAACACCAGUGGCGAAAGCGGCUCUCUGGUCUGUAACUGACGCUGAGGUUCGAAAGCGUGGGUAGCAAACAGG
This 253-nucleotide ribosomal RNA is filed under the name uncultured bacterium. Its description in RNAcentral is "partial 16S ribosomal RNA". It matches the Rfam family "Bacterial small subunit ribosomal RNA", at positions 524 to 776 of the family's 1533-position model. The record is from RNAcentral.